Molecule: ribosomal RNA, 120 nt
Filed under: Triticum monococcum (einkorn wheat)
Lineage: Eukaryota; Viridiplantae; Streptophyta; Magnoliopsida; Poales; Poaceae
Source: RNAcentral
GGAUGCGAUCAUACCAGCACUAAAGCACCGGAUCCCAUCAGAACUCCGAAGUUAAGCGUGCUUGGACGAGAGUAGUACUAGGAUGGGUGACCUCCUGGGAAGUCCUCGUGUUGCAUUCCC